This is a long non-coding RNA of Heterocephalus glaber (naked mole-rat), 958 nucleotides long. The record is from Ensembl. NCBI's taxonomy places the organism in Eukaryota, Metazoa, Chordata, Mammalia, Rodentia, Bathyergidae.
CUGCAAAUGCACUAAUGAUGCAUAAUUAUCAUCGCUGCAAGCCUUCUACACAUCUGGGCAAAUGGCUCCAGCUUCCAUGAUGAUUCUCCUAUUUUACCCAAUUCUGUGUUUGAAUGGUUCCAUACUGCCCCUGGUAGCAGUAACAGUUGGCUUCUAGGAGUUAUUUAGGACUUACUGAGAUGAAUACUUGAAGGGUCUUUCUGUUGUGACGCACAUGGUCUGAGAUCAAGUGGACCCUCUUGUAAUCUAAGCUGGGAGCCUAAGAGCUUAGUUUUCCUGGAUCACAUACUCCUCAUCCUCAACUCCCUUCCUAUCUUUGGAGUGUGUCAGGGGACAAAUCUCCACCUCUUUCUGCCAGUUCCCCCUCCUGAGCCUGAUUAACCAGAGAGCUUCAACAUCUACAAGCUUUGAUCCAAUAUGCAACCCACCCAAAUGGGCUGAGAUGCCCUGAAGAGUCAUUCUCCACAGCUGGAAACAAUUCCGCCUUUCAGACUGAAGCCUGGAUGUGAAAGGAGCCCAUGACCGCGGCAUCUUCCAGGUGUGGCCAAGCUGCUGUGGAGCUCCAGGGCAGCCCAGGCACAGCCACACCUUCCCACCUUUCCUUUAUUUGUCAUUCAGCUACUCGUUUCGGGAGUAACCUCUUUCACUUCCAUCACUGCACCCAGUCUACAGCAUUUGUCUCUCUUUGACAUUAAUAGCUUUUUAGAUUCCUGAUUGUCACUCCUGCUUCCUGGAGGCAGAGCCAGCAGGCAUGCCACAUGGUUUAUUGAGUCUCCAGCUGGGACCUCUGAGGGAUACUGAGAGGCCUCUUCCAUGUCAGCUGCCUCCUAACCCUCCACUGUGUUGUGGAAUUCCCCUUACGUCCCGUGAAUGGACCGGCAGCAGCAUAUCUCCGGCCACCUGGGCUCCCCACUGUUCCUGGCCCUUGCAGUCAACAGAUGUGUUGUUCAGAGACGGC